GCAUCUUUGAUUGUUAGUACUUGCUUUAUUUUAUUUAAUUUGUUGUUGGAAAUGUCUUGGGUUAGUUUUUGCCAUAUAACUCUUGGGAGCCCCACAGAAAGAGUAUGACAAUGUAAGAGGCAGUUUUGGGUUAUUCCAGGCAAAACUUCAGGGCUGCUGAGAAAGUCCAAAAGGCAGCAAACAGGUCAAGGCAGGUUGAUCUCUGCUUUUGCCUUCAUUAUAUGUGCCUACAAAAGUGUCACAGCAGAUUCAGGCAUGUGGAUCCACUAAGAAAUCUUGUGGUUUCUUCCACGUGGAUUUCCAUAAAUGUGGGACAAUCCACCCUUGCUAGUACAUUGGUAUUACUGACAGAGAGAACAGGUUGCCUACCCAAAGAGUGACAGAGAAAGGAAAGAAAUGCUGAACCCCUGCUGGUGGUGGCUACUACAAAAGGAUGGGAGGCAGGGAGGGAAGGCAGGGAGGGAAGCAGAGGACACUGUAGGGACUUCAGCCACAAUCUUCUCCAUGUUGCAGAGGAGUCAUUUGUUCAGCUGCAGCUGACACAGGUUCAUUCAGAUUCCAGAAAUACUCAAAGACAAGUGUAAAAUCUCCUUCUUUGAUCAUUCAGCUGUAAAAGAUGCUGUGAAGGCUGUACACUGUGGCACCGUAGCAUGACUAAACCUUUGCAAUGGACUUGUGCCACAGGCUGUCCACACUCAAUCAUACACUCAUUGGAUCUACAGCUGUAAAUUAUGUGGUCACUGAGGCUGGAGAAGUGGCUGAAGGCCAUUCACAAUGUGCCACUGGUUUCAAAAAACGAUUCAUUAAUCACAGGAGUGUGAAUCCCAGGCUGGACUUUGAUGCCAUGACAGCCCCCUAGCAGGCCCAUGCUGAGUCCCUUCCACAUAAGCAGAAUAAUCCACCCACCAGCUGUGGCCAGCUGCCUUCAUGUGCUCCCUGCAGCAUAUAUUUGCUUGGCUAAUUGAAAAUUAUUUUUACAUGAGAAUCAAAUGAGAAGCAUAUCUGUGGGAAGCUGCUCUCUUCCAUCUUAAUAAUGCUGCUGGUAGUGCUCAGAUAACUGAUGACUGUGGAGCAUGGGAUAGCAUGUGCCUUUCUUCAGAGACACUUAAGGUGGGACAGGGAAUAUUUGCCCACAGAAAACACUUGAUUAGAAAACUAUGGUAAGAAUCUUGCUCUCCUUUAGCUGCAGCCAUACCCUUCUAGGAAAAGAGCCAAAUUCUUAAAUUUCUGUUGACAAGCUGAGGAAAUUCAGAUGUGUAACUGAGUGCUUUGGGUAAUAUAAUGAAAUACAAGAGAAGUGGGGAAAAGACCACUUCAGAACAUGCAUGAAGGUCAAAUUUUUGCCACCCCUUUCUCUGCUAUGUGUUUCCUGUUUCUGACUGGAUGCAUAGCUUUGGAACAUGAAAAAAAGCAGAGACAUUUGAGGCUUGUUCUCACUGCUGUGCUAUAGGUCUUUCUUCUCCACCUGACAUGAAAUAAUGAUGUGCUAUAAAUAUGUUUGUUUCCAACCAGUUGUUGACAUAAAACUGGAUUAUUUUUCUUUUGCUGGUGCCUAAGGGCAAGACAGAGAUUGCAACACAUGAAGCAGACAGCUACAACAGGCAGAAAGAGAUAUCUGACUGGAAAAUCUAGACCACCUAAGUAAGACACAGAUUUUCUACUCAAGGAAAGAUUUCUGCCUUAAAAUCUUAAUCCAGGAAGCAGGGAUCAGGACAGAGCAACCAUCAGGGUAUGGUAGACAUAGAUGUACACCUGAAUUUCUGCCACUGUUUUGCCCUGAAACACCUACUUCAGGGCUGUGUUCUAUUCCUCUGUCCAUGGAAUGUGGAGGCCUUCAGGUUCAUGACAGGGUUAAUGGCCUCCUAUGGGAGCAAAAGUGCUGAGGUUGAUGGUGGUAUCAGCUUCUUCCUCAGAUAGGAUCUGAUCUGCAACCUCUCUUGGAAAGAGUAUCUGGAUAAUCUCUGUCUCCUAAGGGAUUAUAAUGCCUCUUUUUAACCACUAGGCAGCAAAACAUCCUCAAGAGGAGGCACAGGGAAGGGACGAGAUCCCCUGCUCCUGUCAGAUCCCAAACCCUGCUGACAGGAACAUAAGGCUCAUGGACCAGGAAAAUAGCAAGUGAUAAGGAGCCUGAUCCCAAAGGUUGGGUCCCAUGGGAGUGGGCAGGCACCCAGAUGGCUCCUCUGUGCAGGAGCUGCACACAAAGGAACUGGCAGCAAGAGCUCACCUCUCCUGGCCCUCAGCUCGAAAUGGUAAUGAGACAGAGGAAAGAGCCACUCUUCAUAUAUGGCCAGUGCCAAGCCUAUAUCCUACUAGAACAAGGAGCUCCCAAAGAGAGACCUGGUGCUCUCCUCCACACCCAGCCAAACCCAGAUUAUUGAGAAAUUUUCCAUGUAACUAGAGAGCACCUGCACAGCUGCAGAGCUGCACAAUCCCUCCUGAGACGUGGAUUCACCCAGACUGGGUCCGAUAGGCCAGACAAGGACAGAGGGUUUUAGCUCAGCUCUUGCUUGAGGAGAGAGCUGUGAAGGAGAGGCAUGGUGACCCCAGGGGAGACCUUGCAGAGAGGAGCUGUGAUGUCCAUGAAGAGCCAGCACACACCACUGGCUGCAAGGCUAUGACUUGGAAAGAAAACAAGCCUGGCAGGGAAAAGUCCAUGCUGAUCACCUAGAUUUUUCCUUAGAGGGAAUAAAACUUCUGUAACCAGGUCCUACUCUAUGCCAGGACCAAGUGUUAUGAGUAUUUGAGGACCUGUUUCAGCAGAAGGAAAUAGCUCAGGAGUUCUGGCCCCAGUGCAGGCCUUGAUCUCUCUGUGUUUUAGAAACACCAGCUGGCUCUAAUGGUUUGAUGAACAAAAAAACCUUCCAGGUUACAAGAUUCAGGAGAGACACAGCUGACGUAUAGCUGACAAAACUGUAGCUGACAGCUGGCAAAACGGACUAAUUACCAGCUAAUACAGACGAUGAACUUCUGAUAUCCUACUGGCUGGAGCCAAGAAACCAAAGAUGGACAGCUCCAAAACUUUAGAGCUAGGUGGGACUGCCCCAAUUUACUCAUCAUCCACAGUCAUGCAUAAACCGAGUCAAUUCAGCCUGUUUGCUGCAGUAGUCUUCAUUUCUCAAGUGCAAACUGAAGAUCGAAACUCCCUUUGUAACAAAAUUGUAUCUUCAUAUUAGAAACAGUCUUAAUUUUAGCUACUCCUUGUUAUAUUUUCUAAAAUAAAAAUGGUUAUUGUUAGCUCUGUUUGCUGUAUAGGAAGCAUGGCAGGUCCAAGCAUGAUGAUACUUAAAAAAAAUGAGGUUUAUGAUUUCAGAUCUUUUCUUUAGCAAUCAGAACUAUGCAGCAAUAUGUGCUGGAGAGUUGUUCACCUUUUAAUGCAAGCUGCAAUUCUGACAUGACUGCAUGAUUCUGGGAGGCCAGGCAAAGGCAGUUGACUAUUGAGAUCUUAUUUUUAAAACAAUAUACUAUAUAGAAACGUUCUCAUUCAUUCCUGUCUUCCAGUUGGAGUUUCUACUUAUUCAGCUAGACCUUUGUAACUGAAAGAGUUAAUUUCAUAUUCUGUACAAAUGCAGGGUGAAAUCAGGAUGAGCCUUGAAUUAGGGAAGCAUGAUUAGCUCCCUCAUACUGAUGACCCUUAAGUCCUUAAUGUAGUUAUUGAUUUCCAAAAUACAAUCACCCUUCUGUAACAGUGACCUACAUUCUUAUGUCAAGGUUAAUGACAUUAUGUUAACCAUAUUCAAGUGUGUGCGGUUCAAAGGAACACAGCUUAUCAAGCAAUCCAGAUUGCUCCCAAAUGUCACCUCUUUAUUUAAAGCUAGCAGUCAUCAUUGAGUUUUUGUAAUAUUUUUAAAGCAAAGCUUCCUCAUAAGCACUAAUGGUCUUGGCUGAAAGUGGAUGUGAGAGAACCCAAGGAAGAAAAUUAUGCAAAUUUUAAUUCUGUCUUUCUUAAAUUCCUCCUUUGACUUUGAGCAGAUGAAAAAUAGUUUUACCAGGUGAGAUGGUGUUGCCUUUAUGGAAAUAAUUCUUGGAGGAUUUCCUUGCAUAAUUUGUCCACCUCUUCAUCAAAUUUUUCAAGGAGUAGAGCCAGUGUUGUGAUGGCUGUCUCAGGUUUAGUGUCUAGAAGGUAAAAAAGAAACCAAAAUGAGCUGGGUUUUCUCCCCACUCAGUGGUUCAGUGAAGAGGCAGAUGCUUUUGGUUUCUUCAAGGACUCAGUUCCUCUGCUAGAGGAAAGAUUAGCAAAUGUGCAGAGCUGCUGUAUAGUAUCAGAAAUGGGGAAACAAAUUUAUUUUCUGCUAGUUGCUUCCCAAGAGAAAGAAAAGCUGUAGCAGAUGAAUCUAAAUGUGGGUUCUCUGUGCAAUCCAGCUCUGAAAGCUGAGGCAACUGCACUUCUUUAUCAAAAGGUAUAGGAGAGUUCAGGUCCCCAUUCUGUGAGGGCCAAGGCAAUGUUUCUAAUAAAAGCUUUUUCUGGAGGAGUGAACACCAAUAAGCAGUAGAAGAGACUUGUCCUUAUCACAAUUAUUUUUAUGGAAGGAAUGUAAAGUCUGGUUUUCCCAUAGUGUCACUGUAAUAUGAGCAAAAGAAUGCCUUGCUAUUUCUUUGUUACAAUAUACUAAUGCAUUUUUAAAAGAAGAAUUUUAUGAGUUCACAUGGAUGAAGAGCAUAGCUGUUUGUGUGUCUAUACCAUGCAAUAGUUGAUUAUAUGUACCUACAAAAAAAGCAUGGUUUCUAUCUGGCUUCUACAUUCCUUUUACCCUUUUACCCCAUUGCUAUUAGUUGUAUGUGCUGUAUGCAGCAAUAAGAGGAGAAAAACAGACGAGUUGUUGCACCCAGCAGGUUUGUGAUGCUGUGAACUCAAAAAUGAAAAUAACAGAAGUGUAGUGAUAUUGCACAGAAGAAGCAAAAUCCUGAAAAAAUAAGCCCAUGACAAACAAUUCAAAGGCUGUGUUUAGUUUCUGUGCUGAAUCAUGUAUUUACCACACAUUAAUGCACAAAGAGUCAAAACAGGGAAAAGCAGGUCCCCCUGCAUCCACUUGUAUAUGAAUUAUUUUUUGUGCUGAAUAUAGAUGUCCUUUAGCCACAUUAAAAAAUGGGAUGGAAGAGCUUAUGUUUAUAGCCUUUGGACUGUGCAGCAGUCAAGAUUUAUAAUUUUCUUCAUUUGACUAUGAUUCCCAGACUGAAAAAGUUUUCCCUUUUAAAUAAUUCAGCUUCUCUUCCUGUGACUGCAACAGAAGCCUGCUUUUAUACCUACCAACACUUAUGUGUACAGCACAGUAUGCAAAAGAGUGCCCAAAUUAAAAGAUUUAUUAAAAUUUUUUGC
Long non-coding RNA from Passer domesticus (house sparrow), 5314 nucleotides. RefSeq lists it as uncharacterized. The transcript has 3 exons. Lineage: Eukaryota; Metazoa; Chordata; Aves; Passeriformes; Passeridae. The record is from RefSeq and is a predicted model, not a curated record.